Molecule: transfer RNA, 76 nt
Filed under: Acidobacteriaceae bacterium
Lineage: Bacteria; Pseudomonadati; Acidobacteriota; Terriglobia; Terriglobales; Acidobacteriaceae
Description: tRNA-His
Rfam family: tRNA
About the family: Transfer RNA (tRNA) molecules are approximately 80 nucleotides in length.
Source: RNAcentral
GUGGAUGUAGCUCAAGGGUUAGAGCGCCGGUCUGUGGCACCGGAGGCUGCGGGUUCAAUUCCCGUCAUCCACCCCA